CAGGUGUGUUUCUAUCCCUCUCAGGUGUGCUGUGGCUGUGCCCAGGUGUGCCCAGGUGUGUUCCUAUUCCUCUCAGGUGUACCCAGGUGUGCCCAGGUGUGUUUCUAUCCCCCUCAGAUGUGCCCAGGUGUGCCCAGGUGUGUUCCUAUCCCCCCCAGGUGUGCUGUGGCUGUGCCCAGGUGUGUUCCUAUCCCUCUCAGCUGUGCCCAGGUGUGCUGUGGCUGUGCCCAGGUGUGUGCCCAGGUGUGCCCAGGUACCCACGUUGAUGCAGAAGAGCGUGGUCAUGCGGUGCAGGUAGUUGGGGUCGGC
Long non-coding RNA from Vidua macroura (Pin-tailed whydah), 309 nucleotides. RefSeq lists it as uncharacterized. Lineage: Eukaryota; Metazoa; Chordata; Aves; Passeriformes; Viduidae. The transcript has 3 exons. The record is from RefSeq and is a predicted model, not a curated record.